Molecule: ribosomal RNA, 302 nt
Filed under: uncultured bacterium
Lineage: Bacteria
Description: partial 16S ribosomal RNA
Rfam family: Bacterial small subunit ribosomal RNA
Source: RNAcentral
GCAGCAGCCACGGGAAUACGGAGGGUGCAAGCGUUAAUCGGAAUUACUGGGCGUAAAGCGCACGCAGGCGGUCUGUCAAGUCAGAUGUGAAAUCCCCGGGCUUAACCUGGGAACUGCAUUUGAAACUGGCAGGCUAGAGUCUUGUAGAGGGGGGUAGAAUUCCAGGUGUAGCGGUGAAAUGCGUAGAGAUCUGGAGGAAUACCGGUGGCGAAGGCGGCCCCCUGGACAAAGACUGACGCUCAGGUGCGAAAGCGUGGGGAGCAAACAGGAUUAGAUACCCCUGUAGUUCCUGUCUCUUAUAC